UCAUAUGCCUUUGAUUCAGUAAUUUAACUUAGCUUGUCAUAACAAUACUUGUUUGAAUUGGUUUGGAGUUGGUCAGGUUUAGUUUACCAAACUGACCAACUCACUCCACCAAACUUUUGCACCCUUCUGCCUUAAUUGUUUGAAUUUAGGAAAUUAAAUUGGCUAUAGCUGAUGAAAUGCAAAAUUAGGGAUAGAAUAGAUCACAGGGGUAGUUUCAGGGUUAGUUUAGGAACAUGAAACUUGGAGAAUUGAUUUACUUGAGUAGUUUGUCCAGUAGGGCCCCAAUAUGCUUUAAUUUGAACUAAUUGAUAGGGGG
This 316-nucleotide long non-coding RNA is filed under the name Nicotiana benthamiana. RNAcentral describes it as "long non-coding RNA (NBEN_LNC003813)". Lineage: Eukaryota; Viridiplantae; Streptophyta; Magnoliopsida; Solanales; Solanaceae. The record is from RNAcentral.